GUCCUUUUGAAGUAAUUUAUUUAAGGUCUAGCCUGCCCACUGAAUUUAUUUUAAAUGGCCGCAGUAAUUUGACUGUGCAAAGGUAGCAUAAUCAUUAGUUUUUUAAUUGAAAGCUUGUAUGAAAGGUUGGACGAAAUAAAAUCUGUCUUUGAUUAAUUUAAAGUAGAAUUUAAUUUUUAAGUAAAAAAGCUUAAAUAAUUUUAAAAGACGAGAAGACCCUAUAGAGCUUUAUAUUUAUUUAAAUAAAAUAAAUUAAGAAUUAUUGAAAUUUUAUUUAAAUAAUUAUUUUAUUGGGGUAAUAGGAAGAUUUAAUGAAUUCUUUUUUUUUAUUUUCAUUAAUAUAUGGUUUAAAAAUUAAUGAUCCAAUUUUAUUGAUUAUAAGAUUAAGUUACCUUAGGGAUAACAGCGUAAUUUUUUUGGAGAGUUCUUAUCGAUAAAAAAGUUUGCGACCUCGAUGUUGGAUUAAAGAUUAUUUUAGAUGUAGCAGUUUAAAAUUUUGGUCUGUUCGACCAUUAAAUCUUUACA
This 525-nucleotide ribosomal RNA is filed under the name Metrius contractus. Its description in RNAcentral is "partial 16S ribosomal RNA". The stretch from base 399 to 525 matches the Rfam family "Bacterial large subunit ribosomal RNA", at positions 2473 to 2600 of the family's 2925-position model. The record is from RNAcentral. Lineage: Eukaryota; Metazoa; Arthropoda; Insecta; Coleoptera; Carabidae.